Molecule: long non-coding RNA, 2644 nt
Filed under: Vitis vinifera (wine grape)
Lineage: Eukaryota; Viridiplantae; Streptophyta; Magnoliopsida; Vitales; Vitaceae
Description: long non-coding RNA (VVIN_LNC001737)
Source: RNAcentral
CUCCACUUACUGUGUGUAGUUUCUGCUGAUGCUCAGAGUUUUACAUGGAUGACAAAUGGAAAGCAUCGAAGAAGGAAGGUUCAAGCAGCCGUUCCUCUGCUUCCUCCAGUGCUUCUCUCAUGAGGAGUUGCUCACAAAAGACCACUUGUUCCAAGUCCCCUCUCAUGAGGAGUUUUUCACAAAAGAGCUCUUCCAUCACGAGAAAGUGUAGUAACUUAGCCAAGGAACAGAAGGCCAAGUUUUACAUCAUAAAGCGUUGUGUUAGCAUGCUUGUCUCCUCAAACAAGCAUGGAGAUUCUUGAAGGGAAGGGAAGGGGGCAAGCUAUGUAGGCAGAUCGAGUAAGGAGCAAAUUCUCUCCUCUCCUCUCCUCUCACUCUCCCUAUCCCCCUUCUUCCUUGGUGAUGCCUCCUGGGUUUGUUUGAAAAUCCAGAUAUGCUCUCUGCCAUCCAAUCAAGAAGAGAUCAGUUUCAUAGAUUUUCCUUGUCUUUUUUUUUUUUUUUCCUUUGUGUAUUGUAGAUUUAAACUGUAACUUCAAUUGAGUUGAGCUACAAAGUGUUUCACGUUGUGAGAAGAGAUUAGUAUAAUAUUAUUGAACAGUUUUCAAUCAAACCUCAAUACUAGAAAGAGUUAUUACACUCCUCUUGAUGCGUUUGUUUGAAGGAUGUUGCAUACUAUCAUCCCCAUCUGUUUUCCUAGUCCUAUUCUCUUAUUUUUGUCUGGAUGAGAGACAGAGAGGGAGAGAUUCCCUUAAGCUGUUGGAACUACCAAUAUAAUAGGACAUGAUUAGUAAUUGGAUCUGCAUCGUAAAUGCAUCCCCAUCUGCCCUCUUUUGGAAAAAAGAGGUGAAUCGGGAUCCGUUAAAAAGUGAUAUCAUAGUAUUUAAGGACUGCAGCUAAACCUUAGCUUCAUUAUAAAAUAGGGAAUGGCCCAUCUCCAAUUAUUCUCCCUCCAUUCAUUCCCAACAAGAAGGUAUUGCAACCCACCACAUGAUAGAAUCCCCUUCAUAAUUAACUGUAUCAAGAACCAUCCAGAAUAUCAUGAUUUGGGCCUUCUGAUUUCAAUCAAUCCUUUCAAUGGUGGCAUGUCAAUUUCUAAGAAUCUCCAUCAACACAGGGUAGAUGAUGAAGAUCGGACAAUAGUUCACAAGAACUAGAAAAAAAUAUAACAGUUGUUAAGACAUGUUUAUUCUCCAUCCUCCCACCUCCUACCAGCUCAAGCCUUUCCAACACAACUUCUUAGCCGAGAUUCUUGCUGAUCUAAUACCUAGAAAGACCGGGCCGGACACUAAUGCAUGUAGAAAACCUCAUUAGCCUGGAUUACUAUCGGGAAAGCUCUAGCUAGCCUUCCCCAAUAGAGCUUUUCCAGAAGUUAUUAAUGAGAGCUCUAGUAACUCCAUACAGGGAGGUCUCACUGCUGAGAUCCAUGAACAUCCUUGCUAACCAGAGCUCAAGUUUUUACCAAGACUCACCAAUUCACUUAUGGAAAAUAAUGGACAAGGUUUCUGUAGCCAAGCAAAGCCCCAUCUUGUUUAUCAACCCUCAUCCUUUCUGACCCUUUAGCCUAAACAGUAUAAAGGAUAACCUGAAAAAGGAUUGUUGCGGGUCACUGGUCUGCACAACUUUCCCUUUUCUGAUAUUGGGACAGACCGUAUAGAUAUAAGACCCUAAGGAUGGCACAGACAGAGCUAAAAGAAAAAGAUCAUGAAUUUGAAAAUAUUUUCUCGGUAGAAUUUGGAUCCUCCACCUUCACAUUGAUUGAUUAAUAAGUCUUCUCCACCAAAAUCACCAUCAUUAUCAUAUAGUAAGUGCGUGACCAGACACAUCGUGAUCAUUAAGUUCUUGGCCAUCAUAACGGAAAUCUCAAGGAGAACCUGGUGUGUGAGCUCAAAUCUUUGACCAAGAAAUGGCCACAUUAUUCCUUUUUUUAUAAGCCCCAUCUGGACAGCUCUGUUAGUAAGCCGUUAUCGCUACAAAUAUAGAUAAUAAAUUAACCCCAAAGCUAAACUAUUCUAACCCAACUCAACAUACCUACAUAUGCAUGUAAAAUUGAACCAGAAGCUAAGAAAACUGAAAUCUUACUUUCACAUCCCACAUCCCCCAUAGGCCAUUUUAACAUCCAUCCAUGAAAUUUUAAAAAAGAAAAUAAAGAAAUUGAAUAAAAUGUAAAUAAAUCACCCUCUUGCAGAGCAGACAAAUCAAGAAGAGGGAAACAAAUGAAGUAGGUGAUGGCAUACCUUAGUAAUAAGCCUCUCAAGACUGAGUUUCAUGACCCUACUACAGCUUUUCUUUUAUAUAUAUACAAAUGGCCCACUGCUUGUUUUUAUAUGGAUGGGUUAGCUGGAACCAGAGGUCUGUGACUAGAACAGGGGCAAUGCCGGACGAAAUGAUUCAGCAAGUUAGCUCCGAAACAUAAACCAGAGAGUCCCACCAUCAGACAACUAUUUCCGUAGCCUAACAUGUUACAGCUUCUUCCUCUCUGGCCUGAUUUCCAUGGUCCAAGUAUAGGCCCUGAUCUUCCGCAUACCGGUUGCUUGAAAUUCAUCUGAACUAAUGUAUGCAGUCGUGGCAGUAUUGCAUACACAAUUCAAGUUAUCAUGCUUUUAAAGUAGCACUCAACCCAGGUACGAUUGAUGACAAAAACUCA